CUACGGGUCGCAGCAGUAGGGAAUAUUGGACAAUGGGCGAAAGCCUGAUCCAGCAACACCGCGUGCACGAUGACGGCCUUCGGGUUGUAAAGUGCUUUUAGAGGAGAUGAGAAAGGACAGUAUCCUCUGAAUAAGCCUCGGCGAACUACGUGCCAGAAGCCGCGGUAAAACGUAGGAGGCAAGCGUUAUCCGGAUUUAUUGGGCGUAAAGCGCGUGCAGGCGGUCUAGCAAGUUGGAUGUGAAAGCUCCCGGCUCAACUGGGAGAGGUCGUUCAAUACUGUUAGACUAGAGAAUAGGAGAGGGAGGUGGAAUUCCGGGUGUAGUGGUGAAAUGCGUAGAUAUCCGGAGGAACACCAGUGGCGAAAGCGGCCUCCUGGACUAUUUCUGACGCUAAGACGCGAAAGCUAGGGUAGCAAACGGGAUUAGAUACCCCAGUAGUC
Molecule: ribosomal RNA, 440 nt
Filed under: uncultured bacterium
Lineage: Bacteria
Description: partial 16S ribosomal RNA
Rfam family: Bacterial small subunit ribosomal RNA
Source: RNAcentral